GGAGGAGCGGGAGGACCUUCCCGCCCGAAGUCCCCUCCUCAUCCCAAGGUGAGUCCCGCGGCGAGGACCACGAGCCGCCGCAGGGCUCCCAUCCCCGGCGCGUCCAACCUUACCCGAUCAUCUUCAGAUUGUGUGGCCUUGGGCUUGGGUGUCCCAGACAGCCUUUUCCCACUGGGAACCACCGUUUAGCAUCUGAGAGCUCCACCCAACAAAGGUAGGAGAUCAUAUCCUGAUUUUUAAAAACUUCUAUCUGAGUGCAAUUGUAUCUUUUAUGGGCUGUUAGGAUAUGAAGCUUUUGAACUGCUCAUGUAAUAAAAUUCACCAGGAAAUGCUCACAAAGAAGGCGCUGUGUGGCCCAGAUGGGAAGACCCAAGAGUAUGUAAGAGAUGCCACUGGACUUAGAACAGAAACAACCACUUGGACUCUGGGGCAGUCUUAUCAGGCUUUACAAGCUAUAAAAUGAAUCAUGCUUGGGAACCAAAAGGUUAUAUGAUCUUGGAUAUUGGGGAAAAUAACAAACUGGCCCCAGGUGUAAGACGAAAGAAGCAGCUGCCUCCUUAACAAUUUUACAGUAUUUGACUGAAAAGAUUUGGCAACUGAGUUUUAUUUGCCACAUGUGAGAUGCUUUCAUGACCUUAUUAUUCUCAUGAUUAUAUUAAGCUUUUCAAGUUGUAUCUGUUGGUUUUUAUUUAAACUUAAAAAUCUCUGCCUUAACUUUGUAGAUUUCCUUUUGUCUUAGAACUUCUGUCUGUGCCUGCUGAUGAAUGAGGUCACUUCACCCUCUGCUGCCAGGCAGUCAUCCGAGGAGCUGGAAAGAGAGCAGCACGAACUUCUCCAACAUGCCAAACUGAUUUCUGCCAUAGAGUUUUUCAUUAGCUAUUUCCUCUACCUAGAAUGUUCCCUUCACUGGCCUCACAACUCCUUCUGGUCAUUUGGAUUUCAGCUCACAUGCAGCCUCAGAGAGGCCUUCCCUGACCACUCAAACUGAAGUAGUAUUUCAGGCCCUCUCUAUCACAGUUCUAUUUUAAUUCUAAUAGUGCUUAGCACUAGUUAUGGUGGGCUGAAUAAUGGCUCCCCAAAGAUAUCUAAGUCCUAAUCCUCAGAACCUGUGAAUGUUACCUUACAUGGCAAAAGAAGCUGUUCAAGUGUGAUAUUGUUAAGAAUUUUGAGAAGGGACAAUUACCCUGGAUUAUCUGGGUAGGCCUGGUAUAAUCCCAAAGGUUUUAUUUUAUAAGAAGGAUACAGGAGGAACCAGAGCUGAUGUGCUAACAGAAGGAGAGACUGGAGUGAUGCAUUUUGAAGGAAGGAGACCACAAAUCAAGGAAUACAGGCAGCCACUGCCUCUGGAAGCCAAAAAAGAAAAGGAAGUGUAUUCUUUUCUGAGAGCCUCUGGGAGGAACCAGCUCUGCUGAUGCCUUGAUUUCAACCUUGUAAGCCUCAUUUUGAACUUAUGACCUGAAACUGGAAGAGAAUAAAUGUGUGUAGC
Nycticebus coucang (slow loris) is the source of this 1486-nucleotide long non-coding RNA. RefSeq lists it as uncharacterized. Lineage: Eukaryota; Metazoa; Chordata; Mammalia; Primates; Lorisidae. The transcript has 3 exons. The record is from RefSeq and is a predicted model, not a curated record.